RNAcentral lists this ribosomal RNA (252 nucleotides) under uncultured bacterium. RNAcentral's name for it is "partial 16S ribosomal RNA". It matches the Rfam family "Bacterial small subunit ribosomal RNA", at positions 524 to 776 of the family's 1533-position model. The record is from RNAcentral.
UACAGAGGGUGCAAGCGUUAAUCGGAAUUACUGGGCGUAAAGCGUGCGUAGACGGUUAUUUAAGUCAGGUGUGAAAGCCCAGGGCUCAACCUUGGAAUUGCAUUUGAGACUGAAUAGCUAGGGUGCGGAAGAGGGAAGCGGAAUUUCCGGUGUAGCGGUGAAAUGCGUAGAUAUCGGAAGGAACACCAGUGGCGAAAGCGGCUUCCUGGUCCAGCACCGACGUCAGGCACGAAAGCGUGGGGAGCAAACAGG